UGGGGAAUUUUGGACAAUGGGCGCAAGCCUGAUCCAGCCAUGCCGCGUGAGUGAAGAAGGCCUUCGGGUUGUAAAGCUCUUUCGGCCGGGAAGAAAUCGGGGAGGCUAAUAUCCUUUCUGGAUGACGGUACCGGAAUAAGAAGCACCGGCUAACUACGUGCCAGCAGCCGCGGUAAUACGUAGGGUGCGAGCGUUAAUCGGAAUUACUGGGCGUAAAGCGUGCGCAGGCGGUUUUUUAAGAUAGGCGUGAAAUCCCCGGGCUCAACCUGGGAACUGCGCUUAUGACUGGAAGACUCGAGUAUGGCAGAGGGGGGUGGAAUUCCACGUGUAGCAGUGAAAUGCGUAGAGAUGUGGAGGAACACCGAUGGCGAAGGCAGCCCCCUGGGCCAAUACUGACGCUCAUGCACGAAAGCGUGGGGAGCAAACAGG
RNAcentral lists this ribosomal RNA (429 nucleotides) under uncultured Dechlorobacter sp. RNAcentral's name for it is "bacterial SSU rRNA". It matches the Rfam family "Bacterial small subunit ribosomal RNA", at positions 355 to 776 of the family's 1533-position model. Lineage: Bacteria; Pseudomonadati; Pseudomonadota; Betaproteobacteria; Rhodocyclales; Rhodocyclaceae. The record is from RNAcentral.